RNAcentral lists this non-coding RNA (30 nucleotides) under Mus musculus (house mouse). The record is from RNAcentral. Lineage: Eukaryota; Metazoa; Chordata; Mammalia; Rodentia; Muridae.
UGAAUGUCUUCUUUGCAUCUUCCUCAUGUG